This 497-nucleotide ribosomal RNA is filed under the name uncultured bacterium. Its description in RNAcentral is "partial 16S ribosomal RNA". It matches the Rfam family "Bacterial small subunit ribosomal RNA", at positions 28 to 507 of the family's 1533-position model. The record is from RNAcentral.
GAUGAACGCUGGCGGCGUGCCUAAUACAUGCAAGUCGAGCGAACAGACGAGGAGCUUGCUCCUCUGACGUUAGCGGCGGACGGGUGAGUAACACGUGGAUAACCUACCUAUAAGACUGGGAUAACUUCGGGAAACCGGAGCUAAUACCGGAUAAUAUAUUGAACCGCAUGGUUCAAUAGUGAAAGACGGUUUUGCUGUCACUUAUAGAUGGAUCCGCGCCGCAUUAGCUAGUUGGUAAGGUAACGGCUUACCAAGGCAACGAUGCGUAGCCGACCUGAGAGGGUGAUCGGCCACACUGGAACUGAGACACGGUCCAGACUCCUACGGGAGGCAGCAGUAGGGAAUCUUCCGCAAGGGGCGAAAGCCUGACGGAGCAACGCCGCGUGAGUGAUGAAGGUCUUCGGACCGUAAAACUCUGUUAUUAGGGAAGAACAAAUGUGUAAGUAACUAUGCACGUCUUGACGGUACCUAAUCAGAAAGCCACGGCUAACUACGUG